CAGCUUGGAGGACCUCUUCAUCAAAACCUUGGAAAUUUGAGCUGCAUGAGGAGGCUCUUUCUUUCUGCCAACAAUUUUACUGGAACAAUUCCAGACACAUUCAGCAAAUUGAAGAACUUGACAGAUUUUAGGAUAGAUGGGAGUGUACUAUCUGGGAAGAUACCUGAUCUGAUUGGGAACUGGACAAAAAUUAAAACACUGCACAUGCAAGGCACAUCCAUGGAUGGUCCCAUUCCUUCUACCAUAUCCCAGCUGAAAAACAUAACCGAGUU
Non-coding RNA from Camellia sinensis, 272 nucleotides. NCBI's taxonomy places the organism in Eukaryota, Viridiplantae, Streptophyta, Magnoliopsida, Ericales, Theaceae. The record is from RefSeq and is a predicted model, not a curated record.